RNAcentral lists this small RNA (294 nucleotides) under Rickettsia prowazekii. RNAcentral describes it as "partial sR28 non-coding RNA". Lineage: Bacteria; Pseudomonadati; Pseudomonadota; Alphaproteobacteria; Rickettsiales; Rickettsiaceae. The record is from RNAcentral.
AGCCUGAUGAUGAGUUGAAUUAACCAUAGUUUGUAAACAGUUAUUAGCUAUUUUAGAAAGUUUAGUACUGACUUCUAUAUUAAUUGUAUGUGAAACUAUGUUUUUAGGUUUAGGUUGUGUAUGGUUAAUUAUAGUUUUAAUAGGUGCAUUCUCGAAUUCUAAUUUUAUGGGUAAUGUGUAGACUGUGGUUGCAAAUGCUUCAGUAUUGCAUUCAAAUUUCUUGCUAUAUGUUAGUUUAGAAAAAUGUCUAAUAUAAUCAGGAAUAUGUUUAAUAAGUGUGCCAUUAAACAUAAC